RNAcentral lists this ribosomal RNA (483 nucleotides) under uncultured bacterium. Its description in RNAcentral is "partial 16S ribosomal RNA". It matches the Rfam family "Bacterial small subunit ribosomal RNA", at positions 30 to 507 of the family's 1533-position model. The record is from RNAcentral.
AUUGAACGCUGGCGGCAGGCCUAACACAUGCAAGUCGAGCGGAUGAAGGGAGCUUGCUCCUGGAUUCAGCGGCGGACGGGUGAGUAAUGCCUAGGAAUCUGCCUGGUAGUGGGGAUAACGUCCGGAAACGGGCGCCAAUACCGCCUACGUCCUGAGGGCGGAAGUGGGGGAUCCUCGGACCUCACGCUAUCAGAUGAGCCUAGGUCGGAUUAGCUAGUUGGUGGGGUAAAGGCCUACCAAGGCGACGAUCCGUAACUGGUCUGAGAGGAUGAUCAGUCACACUGGAACUGAGACACGGUCCAGACUCCUACGGGAGGCAGCAGUGGGGAAUAUUGGACAAUGGGCGAAAGCCUGAUCCAGCCAUGCCGCGUGUGUGAAGAAGGUCUUCGGAUUGUAAAGCACUUUAAGUUGGGAGGAAGGGCAGUAAGCUAAUACCUUGCUGUUUUGACGUUACCAACAGAAUAAGCACCGGCUAACUUCGUG